RNAcentral lists this ribosomal RNA (372 nucleotides) under uncultured organism. RNAcentral describes it as "bacterial SSU rRNA". It matches the Rfam family "Bacterial small subunit ribosomal RNA", at positions 526 to 896 of the family's 1533-position model. The record is from RNAcentral.
CGUAGGGUGCGAGCGUUAAUCGGAAUUACUGGGCGUAAAGUGUGCGCAGGCGGCGCUGCAAGUCGAGUGUGAAAUCCCCGAGCUUAACUUGGGAAUUGCGCUCGAAACUACGGCGCUGGAGUAUGGCAGAGGAAGGUGGAAUUCCACGUGUAGCGGUGAAAUGCGUAGAGAUGUGGAGGAACAUCGAUGGCGAAGGCAGCCUUCUGGGCCAAUACUGACGCUCAUGCACGAAAGCGUGGGGAGCAAACAGGAUUAGAUACCCUGGUAGUCCACGCCCUAAACGAUGAUGACUAGUUGUUGGAGGAGUUAAAUCCUUUAGUAACGCAGCUAACGCGUGAAGUCAUCCGCCUGGGGAGUACGGUCGCAAGAUUA